UAUUCAGGGUGGAUCUUCUCACUUCCUGAAUCCAGUCUAGAAUCAGGCAUACUCGGGUUUGUCUUCUGGUGACUCUGGAUCCUGUCAAGACGACAAUAUUAACCACCACAACUACUCCUAUGUUGAUGUAACUAGGUAAUUAAUCUCUAAGUUCACAUGAGAGAUCCUAAUAAUCAACUGCAUAUAAUUAAAAAUUUGAAGAUAGCAGUAAGCAACAUUGUCACCCAGCCACCUCAGCCGGGAGCCAUUGGGAAGCUUUUGAAUGAUGUCGUUUCUUGCAGCCAGCCUGCAGAAGGAUCAGUGGCUAAUGUGAUUACAGCGGGGGAUUAUGACCUUAACAUCAGUGAUCGGUCAAUUAAAGCUAGUGUUCCUUGGUACAGUAAUUGGAAAGACACUUUCAUGGAAUUGAAAGAAUCCUCGUUAUAUACAGAUUCUAUGUUACCUGUCCUCGGUCCACUUGGAAUCUCUUGAGAGAGCCGAGUCCUGUGUGUUCCUAGGCCCUGCCACAGGGACCUGGACGCCCUGCCUGUUGAGGCAAGGUUGAGGAUGUCUCGGGCCUUAUGGUCCCUGCUUCGCAUGAUGUGGGGCAGCAUCCAUCUGAACGCUCAUCACUACCAAGGCCAAUGUUUUGGAAGGAAGUCCUUCUUCUCCCAUCUUAGUAUUAGACCAUCGGAUUUGGGACACGGGACUAAGGCCGCUGACUCUGCAUCCCUUACAAGCAUACACAGCUGCCUGCCCUUUUGCCUUGUGUCCAUCCUGGAGUGGCCUUCUGCAAGGUGGGAAGCCCGAGCUGGGUCUAGGGUCCCAUUGAGUUGGGUGGUCGUCUCCCUUGGUGUAACACCUUCCAUCCCACUGCCUUAGAAGAACCGGGCACAGCCUUGGAGGCCCCUC
This is an RNA transcript of Peromyscus eremicus (cactus mouse), 891 nucleotides long. It is a transcript of the gene named trafficking protein particle complex subunit 8-like, with no coding region annotated. NCBI's taxonomy places the organism in Eukaryota, Metazoa, Chordata, Mammalia, Rodentia, Cricetidae. The record is from RefSeq and is a predicted model, not a curated record. The transcript is spliced from 5 exons.